RNAcentral lists this ribosomal RNA (253 nucleotides) under uncultured bacterium. RNAcentral describes it as "partial 16S ribosomal RNA". It matches the Rfam family "Bacterial small subunit ribosomal RNA", at positions 524 to 776 of the family's 1533-position model. The record is from RNAcentral.
UACGUAGGGGGCGAGCGUUGUCCGGAGUUACUGGGCGUAAAGCGCGUGUAGGCGGAUAGGCAAGUCUGCUGUGAAAGCUCCUGGCUUAACCGGGAGUGGUCGGUGGAAACUGCUUAUCUGGAGGACGGUAGAGGCUGGUGGAAUUCCCGGUGUAGUGGUGAAAUGCGUAGAGAUCGGGAGGAACACCUGUGGCGAAGGCGGCCAGCUGGGCCGGACCUGACGCUGAGACGCGAAGGCGUGGGGAGCGAACGGG